Molecule: ribosomal RNA, 346 nt
Filed under: uncultured bacterium
Lineage: Bacteria
Description: bacterial SSU rRNA
Rfam family: Bacterial small subunit ribosomal RNA
Source: RNAcentral
ACUCCUACGGGAGGCAGCAGUGGGGAAUAUUGCACAAUGGGGAAACCCUGAUGCAGCCAUGCCGCGUGUGUGAAGAAGGCCUCGGUUGUAAGCACUUCAGUAGGAGGAAGGUAGUGUAGUUAACACCUGCAUAUUUGUACGUUACCUACAGAAGAAGCACCGGCUAACUCCGUGCCAGCAGCCGCGGUAAUACGGAGGGGUGCGAGCGUUAAUCGGAAUUACUGGGCGUAAAGCGCAUGCAGGCGGCCUGUUAAGUCAGAUGUGAAAGCCCGGGGGCUUAACCUCGGAAUUGCAUUUGAAACUGGCAGGCUAGAGUCUGUAGAGGGGGUAGGAAUUUCAGGUGUAG